This 253-nucleotide ribosomal RNA is filed under the name uncultured bacterium. RNAcentral's name for it is "partial 16S ribosomal RNA". It matches the Rfam family "Bacterial small subunit ribosomal RNA", at positions 524 to 776 of the family's 1533-position model. The record is from RNAcentral.
UACAGAGGUGGCAAGCGUUGUUCGGAAUUACUGGGCGUAAAGAGCUCGUAGGUGGUUUGUCGCGUUGUCCGUGAAAACUCACAACUCAAUUGUGGGCGUGCGGGCGAUACGGGCAGACUGGAGUACUGCAGGGGAGACUGGAAUUCCUGGUGUAGCGGUGGAAUGCGCAGAUAUCAGGAGGAACACCGGUGGCGAAGGCGGGUCUCUGGGCAGUAACUGACGCUGAGGAGCGAAAGCGUGGGGAGCAAACAGG